Molecule: transfer RNA, 72 nt
Filed under: Ancylostoma caninum (dog hookworm)
Lineage: Eukaryota; Metazoa; Nematoda; Chromadorea; Rhabditida; Ancylostomatidae
Description: tRNA-Arg
Source: RNAcentral
UUCCCAUGCCGAGAAUCGAUCCCGGGCCGCGUGGGUAGAAACCACGAAUCCUAAUCACUGGACCACAUGGGA